GAAGCCCGCGUGCUCGUGCUGUCUCCGGGCUCCUGCCGGGGUGUGUGGUUGCCAGCGAGAUUUGCACGGAAAUAAUUGUUUCUUCUUCAAAGAGAAAAAGAAAACGAAAUGAAAUGAACCCCCACUGUUGUUCGGUGAGACCUGAGACACACCACUUCAGUUCUAGCGGGCAGCCGGCUGGGGACCCUCCGUGCAAAAUAAGUCACGUUUUGAGGACCGGGGGUGGAGGGGGCGUACCGACUUUCAAGAACUUGAAACUGUACUGAGCCUGAGAGAGAGACAACGAGGCGUGUGCAACACACAACCAUCGCAGUAAUCCUGCUGCUCUCCAUCACAGGGGACAUAGCUAUAGGUAUUUACAUGUCAUCAUGUUUGCCUCUCGAUGCAGGUUCCUGUGUUUGGUUUUACAUACGAGAUGACAUCCAUCAUGUCAAAGAAGUUGGCAGCUACGGCCAUGUCCACGCAAAGCCGGAGAGCCAGAGUCAGCAUUGAUGGGCGUCUGCAGAGCAGAAGUGGGAGGGGUUGAGAAAUUGCUGACUCUGAUGGAAAAACUUAAGGCAACUAAUGUUUGUAAGGGCCUCUCUGAAACAUUACUGGGGUGAACUUUCACUUGGAGAAGUUAUCAAAUGCAAAAACCCAUCAUUUCGAUACAGCUUUCUUGCUCCUGCCUCAAUGUCAUCCUACUUUGGACCUCCUCUCUCAUGCUCACUUGUGUACACACACGCACAGACACUUUCACAGCACAGCAGGCUGGUGCUGGGGCUGGUGAACAGCUGCACAGGCUCUGAAGUAGACAGACAGAUGAGGCCUGUGCUAACACCCUGGACCUAAACAUCUUGAAACCCUGAAAGCAACAACUGGACGUGGCUGUGAACAACACAUCUUUGGGACGAAACAUAUAGAAAUGUCCCUGCUCCCUAGUUCGUCAGCCAAGGGCAGAAAUCUCUUUCUCUGCCGGUAUCUUCCCACGGUUAAAAAGUGUCUCACCCAAGGCCGGAAUUAGGGUGCUGAGCCCUGCACAUCCUGUGUGAGCCUUAUGUGCUGGGAAGCCGCCCAUUACAGACAGCGCCGUUGCCUUCCUGCCUUCCUUGCAGAACCUCCCAACUAUGCAUCCUGAGCCUUUUCUUUUUAAUUCUCUUGGAUUUAACACAGAUCCCCUUUAGAGCAAGAAAGGAGCAGAAAGAAAGGUGCGGUCCGUUACUCACCGAGCAAGCUGCUGAGGCCUCUCUGACAAGCUACCGGUUUUGUUUUCUUCCGCUACCACCCCAAGUCAACCAUCCCCUGUUAAUUAGCAUGCCCUUUAUCUCCCCUUUGCAUGCUGUGGCACUCCUCCCUCCAAGGGAAAUGAAUGAAAGGAAACCCCAACUUGCUGUUAAGUUACAACUUCCCGCGCCAAUAAUGUGGGCUGAGACAGACAUACGUUAUCGGUUUCUCCUGUGUCAGGGCUCAUUGCUGUUCAUCCACAAAGAGCCGUAGAAGUGAAGGUCUUACCUGUGUUUGCGAUGGGAGCCCAGAGGUAGACGCACCAAAUCACUGAUCUUCUCCCCAACCUCUGUUAAGCUUCAAGGCAGAAAGAGAAGGUUGGAUAUUGGGUUAUGGGGCAUUAACUGACAUCUUCAUUCCAGCGACUUCAUUGUGCUGCCAUUUUUUAUUUUUUUUUUAAUAAAACAGGAAAUGUGCUAAGCCACAAUGCUUAUCCCCGGUUCCUGUCUCGUUAGUCUGUGACAUGGUACAGAAAGCUAGCAGGCAACUUGAAGCCCAGUUCAGUAUGGUGGUUUGGGUAUCUUGAGAUGUAAGAAGUCUGGACUUUUGCUAUCACCAGCCACCGUUAUCCCUCACUGCACAUGGAAGCGGUACAUGGAUCCAGGAAGCUAUGCCCACAGCACAGCAGGUCUUUUAUUAUGCUUGCUGAUUCCUGCCAAUUCCAAGGGGCCUGGGGUUAGGUAAUUCCACCCAGGGUAUAAGAGCAGUUGGUGUGAAUGGAGCAGCCCUGGAAGAAAUCCCUCGGACAAGCUUAGCUCGGGUGACAUGGCUCAGCUCUGUGUUACAUUGCUUCCAUUUUAUCUGCCGAUGAAACAGCUGCCUUGGGAAG
This is a long non-coding RNA of Alligator mississippiensis (American alligator), 2092 nucleotides long. RefSeq lists it as uncharacterized. The record is from RefSeq and is a predicted model, not a curated record. Lineage: Eukaryota; Metazoa; Chordata; Crocodylia; Alligatoridae. The transcript has 4 exons.